GACUUAUCACUGGCUGUGGCUUGUAUACAAUACUCGUACAAUAUAGCUGUUUCGCCAAAGUGCGGUUACAAAAACGGAAGUAUAAUUCUCCGUAUCCAUCAAUCAAUUGUACAAAAAAAGAAAAAAAAAAUUGUAAAAAAUGGCGCAGUUUUGGAAGCCAGGAACAGCGAAACCACGGCUACUCGACGACGAAGAAGGCGGCGUUCUAUUCUACUCUGCCGCUCCCUCAUCAUCCACAUAUAAUAUAGAGAAACAGAGGGAGAGAUUACCAGUGUAUAGAUACAGGGAAUCUAUAUUGUAUCUAGUGGAAACUCAUUCCACUACUAUCAUUGUUGGUGAAACUGGCAGUGGUAAAACCACUCAAAUCCCUCAGUACCUUAAGGAAGCAGGCUGGGCUGAUGGCGGGCGCGUUAUUGCAUGCACUCAACCAAGACGGUUGGCUGUGCAGAGUGUUGCUGCUAGGUUGGCCGAAGAAAUGAGAGUUAACCUUGGGGAGGAAGUUGGUUAUACUAUCCGAUUUGAGGAUGUGACAAAUUCAGACUUGACUAGGAUCAAGUUUCUCACGGAUGGAGUAUUACUCAGAGAAAUGAUGGAUGACCCUCUUUUAAGCAUGUACAGUGUAAUUAUGGUAGAUGAAGCUCACGAGAGAUCCCUUUCAACAGACAUAUUGUUGGGUCUUCUGAAAAAGAUACAACGACGUAGGCCUGAGUUGCGCCUGAUUAUAGCAUCGGCCACUAUUGAAGCAAAAUCAAUGGCUGCUUUUUUCGAGACCAGGAAAAGACGGCCUCGAUCGGAAGGAGAAGAUCAUGGACUGCAGACAGAACCUGCUAUUUUGUCUGUUGAGGGUAGAGGAUUUAAUGUAGAGAUUUUCUACUCCGAGGAGCCUGUUUCAGAUUAUCUCCAAGCUACUGUUUCUACAGUGAUGUCAAUACAUGACAAGGAGCCAAUGGGAGAUAUUCUUGUCUUUUUAACUGGGCAAGAUGAGAUCGAUACUGCAGUUCAAAUGAUCACAGAAGAGGCAUUAAAUAGUGGCAAGUCAUCUUUAGUUUCAGGGCUGAUUGUUUUGCCUUUGUACUCGGGACUCACUCGUGCGGAUCAGGACUUGGUGUUUUCUCCUUCCCCUCGAGGUAAAAGGAAGGUGGUAAUAUCAACAAAUAUAGCAGAGACAUCCCUUACGUUGGAGGGCAUUGUUUAUGUUGUUGACAGUGGUUUCUCAAAACAGCGGUUCUACAACCCGAUUACCGAUAUAGAGAAUCUUGUAGUGGCACCAAUAUCUAAAGCAUCUGCUAGGCAAAGGGCUGGGAGGGCUGGCCGUGUACGGCCUGGAAAGUGUUACAGGCUUUAUACAGAAGAUUAUUUUGUCAAUGAGAUGUCUUCACAUGGGAUUCCUGAGAUGCAAAGAUCAAACCUUGUUUCUAGUGUGAUUCAGUUAAAAGCGUUAGGUAUUGAUAACAUCUUAGGGUUCGAUUGGCCAGCAUCACCAUCACCUGAAGCAAUGGUUAGGGCUCUUGAAGUACUUUAUUCGCUCGGAGUUCUUGAUGAUGAUGCUAAACUUACUUCACCAGUGGGAUUCCAAGUUGCAGAGCUACCAUUGGAUCCCAUGAUAUCAAAGAUGAUCAUAGCUUCCGACCAACUUGGAUGCUCCGAGGAAAUCAUCACAGUGUCUGCUAUCCUGUCAGUUCAGUCAAUAUGGAUCUCAGUUAAGGGGCAGAGGGAGCUGGAUGAAGCCAAAUUGAGGUUUGCGGCAGCAGAGGGUGAUCACGUGACCUUCCUCAAUGUAUACAAGGGAUUUCUCCAGUCAAAUAAAUCUUCUAAAUGGUGUCACAGAAACUGUAUCAAUUACCAGGCAAUGAAAAAAGUAAUGGAAGUUAGAGAACAGCUAAGAAAAAUAGCACAGAGACUAGGGUUAUCCUUAAAAUCAUGUGAAAAUGAUAUGCAGGUACUACGAAGGGCGGUGACUGCUGGAUUUUUUGCUAAUGCAUGUCGUUUAGAGCCAUACAGUCAUAAUGGGACGUAUAAGACUGUCAGGAGCUCACAAGAAGUUUACAUCCAUCCAUCAUCUGUAUUGUUCAGGGUGAACCCAAAAUGGGUUGUAUAUCAUUCGCUAGUGUCAACUGAUCGUCAGUACAUGCGCAAUGUCAUCUCUAUUGAUCCUUCUUGGUUACGUGAGGCUGCACCUCACUUUUAUCAGCAACAACCUCUGAAUACUAACCGUCACUAGGUGGUAUUGCUCACUAGUUAUGUUCAAGAACGAAAGUUUGGAUCAUUCUUGUUUUAUUUUAUUGCACCCUUGAGAACCUAUGUUACUAAAAUUGGAGCUAUGCAGCUUAAUUGUAUUGAUGCUUUCAAAGCUUUCACCACUAGAUCAAUUAUCAGUCUCUUACACAUGACCUGCAAUGAAGAUGCAGUUUAAAUGAAAGGCUAAAAGGAGUGAGACAUAUUUAGGGGUGUGGGAUAUCUGUCAUGUGGCACCAUGUAAGCAUUAAUGUUUUGUUAGGAAAAAUAGGGGUGGGGGGAUCUUAGACAUGUGGCAUUGAUGUUUCUUCCACCAAUUUUAUUUAUUUUA
Molecule: RNA transcript, 2566 nt
Organism: Erigeron canadensis
Lineage: Eukaryota; Viridiplantae; Streptophyta; Magnoliopsida; Asterales; Asteraceae
Gene name: probable pre-mRNA-splicing factor ATP-dependent RNA helicase DEAH9
Exons: 25
Source: RefSeq, a predicted model, not a curated record